CCCUGAAACUUGGAGGCCUGGGCUGGCGGCCACGCCGCUGCCGCCUCCGCGCAGAGCCGUGUUGAUGACGUGCUCUUGAACCCCGGUGACGUCUGGCUUGUAUGUUUAGGGGACAAGUGCCCCGUUGCGGUCAACUUUUGCUGCUGACCCUCACGUGUUGGUCACCCCCAAAUAGCCUGCGCUUCCCCUCGCGCGGCUCGACCGCCCGCCUCUGAAUUUGUGUCCCCAAAGGGAGCCAAUUUUGUGCGUGUUGAUGACGUGCUGUUGAACCCCAGUGACGUCUGGCCUUGUACGUUUAGGAGAAAAGUGCCCCGUUAGGCUCAACUGUUGCUGCUGACCCUCACGUGUUGGUCACCCCCAAAUAGCUUGCGCUUCCCCUCGCGCGGCUCGACCGCCCGUUUCUGAUUUUGUGGCCCCAAAGGGAGCCAAUUCUGUGCGUUCUGCCCUGUCAGGGGGAAGCACGAGCAGAGAUGCGAUGGCUUGUAGCUUUUCCUCAGUCACCGAAUAUUAAAUUAAACGUGGACGUUCUUCUCCUGGAGCAGCGUUAACAGCACACGUUCUUUUGCUGCAAGAUCUGCAGCUGAGCCCAACAGCCCCGGGCAUCCAUCUCCAGAACUGAAGCACGUUGUAUUCUGUUCGAGAACAAAUCUGCAUCCCACAGCGUAUUGUUACCUGCUGGCACAGACUUAACUCAUCUUUGUAUUCCCACGUCCAUUCUUCAUUCUUGUAGUGUUUAUUGAAUAAAGGGGAGAAUGCUUUUGAGAGAGAAGGUUUGAAUUGGUUGCUUAUGUUGAAUUUCAAAUGGAAGGGGGUGCCUUUGAAUAGGUAGCCUACAACUUUUUUUUUCUUUUUUGCUAUUAACACUUUGUUUUUGAUUGAGGCAACAUUGAUUUACAUUAUGUUUGUAUUUUGGAAGUAUUGGAUCCUCCUCUUCCAAUAGUCCUGGUUUGGAAAUCAUGAAAAUAGAGUAAGGAUCUUAAAUCUGAUAAUUGUUUAAGAUUUUAACAAAAAGACAGAAGAUCAUGCAUCCAAACAAGUUUGUUGGGCUGAUUCUCCAACAAUGGAGGCUUGUCUCUUCUGAAAGAGAAAAUUUCCAGCCUGGCUCCCCUGAUGGAACUAGGAAAGGAUUUUUAAAAGUGUUCUAUACAGCAUGUGCUUGCUGUCCUGACAAGAAUGGAACAAAGAUGUUGCCAGAGGCCCAAAGAUAACAAAGAGCCAGGACUCUCAGCAUUUGGGCCUUGAGUGGUAACAAGAAAGAAUUCAGGUUUUAUCAAGGACGAAAUAGGAAUGCUGUGCCUCUGUUCAUGACACAUCACUUUACUUUUUGAAAGUCUGGGAAAAUAAGUCUGGCCACUUGCCGCGGACCAGCACAGCGAUGGACGAUGAGGCCGUCUCAGGGUUGAUAGACUGCGCAGGGUGGUCAGGGAUUCGAUGAAUAAAUGACACACAGACACACUUCAAGAGAGUGAAAAUCUGAGUGCAUCUUUAUUAAGCUAGUGGUCAGUAUAUAUAUGUUUUUCUAAAAGCAUAGGAACAGUGAACAUCAAAGAGAUCAGUUUGCUCAUAGACUUAGCUUAAUUGACAGGGCAGUGAUUUAUGUCCGAAGUUACAUCUGGACCUAGCCUCAUUCCUAAUUGGACAGGCUAUAAGUUCUUUCUACUGUUUUAUAUAAUUAUUUUCUAGUUGCACUAACUAUCAUUUUUACUCAUAAUUAAUUGUCAUGGGUGAAUUUAUUUUAUAAUGCAGUUAAUAUCAAAGGUACUAAAGUUAAGCACA
Talpa occidentalis (Iberian mole) is the source of this 1776-nucleotide long non-coding RNA. RefSeq lists it as uncharacterized. The transcript is spliced from 3 exons. The record is from RefSeq and is a predicted model, not a curated record. Lineage: Eukaryota; Metazoa; Chordata; Mammalia; Eulipotyphla; Talpidae.